UAUGUAAAAUUAAUAAUAAAUUAAUAUGAUUGAGGGAUUAAGGAAAUACGUUAUGAAUAGAUAACAAAUAGAGCUUCCUUACAUAUAUACUGUUUUGUCUGUAUUUUAUAACGUUACUACAACUAUAUGUCUGAAAUUGUAAAAUAUUUUCUGUUUCUGUUUAAUAAAUUUCAUUUCAUUUCA
Melitaea cinxia (Glanville fritillary) is the source of this 183-nucleotide long non-coding RNA. RefSeq lists it as uncharacterized. The transcript is spliced from 3 exons. The record is from RefSeq and is a predicted model, not a curated record. NCBI's taxonomy places the organism in Eukaryota, Metazoa, Arthropoda, Insecta, Lepidoptera, Nymphalidae.